Molecule: ribosomal RNA, 302 nt
Filed under: uncultured soil bacterium
Lineage: Bacteria
Description: bacterial SSU rRNA
Rfam family: Bacterial small subunit ribosomal RNA
Source: RNAcentral
AGGACGAACGCUGGCGGCGUGCCUAACACAUGCAAGUCGAGCGAGAGAACCCGCAAGGGUGAGUAAAGCGGCGGACGGGUGAGUAAUACGUAGGUAAUCUACCUUCAAGUGGGGAAUAACAUUCCGAAAGGAGUGCUAAUACCGCAUGUGGAUCCUGGUUGAUGAACUGUAUCCGAAAGGGGCUAGCUAAUAGCUUUCGCUAGAAGAUGAGCCUGCCGUCCCAUUAGCUAGUUGGUAAGGUAAUGGCCUUACCGAAGUCUUCGAGUUGGGUAGCGUGGUCUGGAGGAGGACCGGCCAGCCAC